CUGAGAUGUGAUGCCCAUCCCCUGGGGAUUUUCCCGGGGGUGGUGCAGAACCUCCCAAACCCUUUGUGAAAACCAAACAAACCUUUUUUUGUGCUGUGUUGCUUUGGCGGGUCCAACCGCCAACAGUGAUCGGACCAAACAUGUCAAUUCAUACCAACGUCCAAUUGAUUUUGUCUGAAUCUGAAUGAAACCAAUUUAAUUA
RNAcentral lists this unclassified non-coding RNA (202 nucleotides) under uncultured fungus. Its description in RNAcentral is "sequence contains ITS1". The record is from RNAcentral. Lineage: Eukaryota; Fungi.